UGGGGAAUAUUGCACAAUGGGCGCAAGCCUGAUGCAGCGACGCCGCGUGGGGGAUGACGGCCUUCGGGUUGUAAACCUCUUUCAGCAGGGACGAAGCGAAAGUGACGGUACCUGCAGAAGAAGCACCGGCCAACUACGUGCCAGCAGCCGCGGUAAUACGUAGGGUGCGAGCGUUGUCCGGAAUUACUGGGCGUAAAGAGCUCGUAGGUGGUUUGUCGCGUUGUUCGUGAAAACCGGGGGGCUUAACCCUCGGCAUGCGGGCGAUACGGGCAGACUAGAGUACUGCAGGGGAGACUGGAAUUCCUGGUGUAGCGGUGGAAUGCGCAGAUAUCAGGAGGAACACCGGUGGCGAAGGCGGGUCUCUGGGCAGUAACUGACGCUGAGGAGCGAAAGCGUGGGGAGCGAACAGGAUUAGAUACCCUGGUAGUCCACGCCGUAAACGGUGGGUACUAGGUGUGGGUUUCCUUCCUUGGGAUCCGUGCCGUAGCUAACGCAUUAAGUACCCCGCCUGGGGAGUACGGCCGCAAGGCUAAAACUCAAAGGAAUUGAC
RNAcentral lists this ribosomal RNA (550 nucleotides) under uncultured bacterium. Its description in RNAcentral is "partial 16S ribosomal RNA". It matches the Rfam family "Bacterial small subunit ribosomal RNA", at positions 355 to 914 of the family's 1533-position model. The record is from RNAcentral.